AACUGUUAUGGUGGCAGUUCACUCUCCCAUGGUUUGCGGCCCAUUUUCUCCACUAGGCACGGUUGCUAUAAAAUUGGGACGUGGGUAGAAAGCAGUUGCCGAGCAGCCUUAUAUAAUGUAAACCCCUGAAUCAAAAACGCCGUACCUUCAAUCGUGAUUUAUGGGUAAAUAUUGAUUUGAAGUUUUGAAGGUAAUGUGUCUAUAAUCCUAUUUAUUGCUCACUUGAUUGAUUCCCUCGAACAAACUUCUGAAAUCUGAUUAGUUUCUUCUAAUUGAAUCCUUCGAUAAUAUCUUCUUAAAUCCGUUCUGUUAAUUACUUGAUGGAAGUGUUGAAGGUAAUUUUUCUAUCAUAAAUAGUUUCUGCCCUAAAUCAAUUUGCCCUAAUUAUGCUCUGGUCUAUUCUAUUAAUUUGCUCAAUAAACAUUCAUAUAUGUCAAGUAUGUUGAAAGUUUAAAUUUAUAACUGUUUUUUUUCAGCGUUAAUUUUGUUGUUCAAUGUACUGACUGUAGUUGAUUUUUUGGUUAGGAUGAUGAAGAAGAAUCCUUAGGCACGAAAAGAACAUGUGACAACAUUGGGAGGUGUUUUGUAAGCAUUAAGUAUUCAUAUAAAGAUGGUGAAUCUGAAAAUUUUGAUUGCUGUAGUGAUGUUUCUAAUAAUAAUCUUUGUGGUAACUGGUAAGAUACCCUUUGAUGGCCCUCUCACGAGCUUCCCAAUCGAAAGGUAUAUCCCACACUAUACCAUAUGAAAGUUUGUACCUUUCAAUCUUUAGUUCAUCGGUAUUGAUCAUGUUUAAACUAAAAUGGGGGAUAAUAUGUUUCUUUUUGUUUCUGUCACUUAUGAAUACAACACACAGAACGGGCUAAGGCUACAAGGACUCAUGUUUUAAGUAGUAAAUUUUGAGAAGCACUUUGAAAUCAGCCAAAGUUAAUUCAUUUGUUUAAACUUUUGAAGUUAUGUUUGAUGUGUUGUGUUAUUUUGAUUGAAAAGGUGUAAGCAUGCUAUUCUAUCUGCAGUUUCUUUUUGUGUUUGAAUCUGGUAUUUGGAUUUUGAGGUUAAUUUUUUAUAAUAUAAUUAAUAAUUGAUUGAUUUAACAGAUACAGUUUAGUGGUCAUUUUUGUAGAAAAUUCCACUUAGAUUUAUCCACAGAGUUGCUCUCAUGUUCUGAAUCCGGGUUCAUUACGAGUAUCAGAAUUACGUCUACUGUUUACGGGCUCUUUUUUUAAAUGCUAAGUGCAUGUAUUCGGUAGUUGAUGGCUAUUCUGUUUACAUCAAGGGUCUCCCAAUGAAUGCUACACCUGCUUUGUUGGAGAAAGAGUUCUAGAAAUUUGGUCCUAUUACGCCAAAUGGCAUUCAAGUUCGAAACAACAUGGUACAUAUCCAUUUUAUUUUUUUCUAAGCGUUUGAACCGUUUUUUUUUUUUUUUUGUAACUUUGCAGGGAUUUUGUUUUCGAUUUGUUGAAUUUGAGGUGCCUGAUGCAGUUCAAAAGGCGAUUCAGGCGUCGCCAGUCGCAAUCAAUGGAUGCAUUGCUAUUGUUGAGGAAACACGCCCAACAAACACAUAUGCAAUUAGAUUACAUGUGGCAAAUGGAUUAGUUAAUGGGUUGAAAUAUUGAGUAACUUGGAUCAUAGUAGAUAAAAGCAUUCAGAACAUAUUAUUAAAGCAUAUAGGUAUAAUUUUCUUGAAACAGUAGCGCGUGGGAGAUUUCCUAUUUGAAGGGGCGGUGGAUUCAGAAAUGAAGGAAUGAGGGGUCGUGGAAACUUCACCGGCGGUAGAGUGUGCAAACGUGACUUUGGGGGCAACAGGUGUGGUGGUCGUGGUGGUGAUGGAUAUCAGGGGAAACCGGGGAAUGGGUGUUAAUAAGAAUAUGGCAUCAUGGGUUCCAGCCAACACUCGAAUGAUUGGGGGGGGGGGGGGGGUUAAUGACUUUGAUUUGCUCUUAUUGACUUAGUUAGGAUUUUUUUGGCUAUUUGUCCGGUGUGCAGUUUUUUUAGCGUCAUAUUGGGUGCAACACCUAUGGCUGCAUUCCAAAUAUGCUUGCAGGUGUGGCUGACAUCAUCACUUCUUGCUGAUGGGUUGGUAGUUGCUGAACAGGUAGAUGUUUGUUUUGUGUUAUGGUUCAAGUGGCAAACGAUCUACCAGAACCAAAUGGUGUCCAGGAACCUUUAGACCCGCGUAGGACUUGAACGAAGCCUCUGUCAUUAAUCGGUUUCACUUUUUUUUUAAUCUGUUCUGCUCAAGAUUUUGAAGCGUUCACCAUGAGUUCGUAAUCCGCCGUUGGAGAAAAAUUGCUUGCGAAACACAUCUUAAAGGAAUAUCAUCUGUUGUAUCUCAAAGUCAAGAAUCUUUGUUAAUGGUAGCUGGGUAGGGGAUCCACUGCAGAGCUCUUGGUGAGGACCUCAUGACCUUGAGACAGUUAAGGCUACAAUUUUUUUUUUACUUUGUACAACAAACCCACUCAUUAAAAUCACGAAUAUGUGUUAGCCUACUGGCCUCGCCUAAAUCCCAAAUAUAUUUAGGCAGGUUGAUGCAUUUGGAAAAGAUUCAUUUGAGGAAGGAGAGAAAAGAUCUCAAGGAAGUUAACACUCAAGUAGUGGAUCAAAUAGGGUCUGCUCCUUUAUUGUAUACGGAAAAAUGGACGGGAUGACCCAUUUUGGUAAAGGGUUCAGGCCAAAAUGACUCAGAAUGUGUUGUAAUAGUAAAACGCAACAAGUAAAUAUUUGUGUUCAUAGAUUCAUUCACGUUGUUACUAUAUAAUAAAUCAACGUAACCCGUCCAACGGACGGGUAUUAAACUA
Helianthus annuus (common sunflower) is the source of this 2795-nucleotide long non-coding RNA. RefSeq lists it as uncharacterized. The record is from RefSeq and is a predicted model, not a curated record. Lineage: Eukaryota; Viridiplantae; Streptophyta; Magnoliopsida; Asterales; Asteraceae. The transcript has 5 exons.